AUACGAGUCUCGGCUCUGUCCGUCUCCCGCCUCCACUUUAUAGGCCCCCUUCAAAUGUUCCAGCGUCACAGAGGAGAUGUGAACUCGGCUGGGGAGGACCAGCAGGAUGCGAAAGAGAGAGAGAGAGCACUUCAAUAACAAUACACGGACGAGAAACAUGACAUCCUCUCGUGCAGCCCACAUGGACUGGACGAGGUUGUGGAAGUUGUUGGUGUUUUCGGCCUGGCCGCAGUUCGGACCCUUGAGCCUCUGGAUGAUCUCAGCCUUCAUCACACGAGCGAUGUGG
Molecule: long non-coding RNA, 286 nt
Organism: Ictalurus punctatus (channel catfish)
Lineage: Eukaryota; Metazoa; Chordata; Actinopteri; Siluriformes; Ictaluridae
Exons: 2
Source: RefSeq, a predicted model, not a curated record